GAAAUGCGAUAAUUAAUGUGAAUUGCAGAAUUCAGUGAAUCAUCGAGUCUUUGAACGCACAUUGCGCCCCCUGGUAUUCCGGGGGGCAUGCCUGUCCGAGCGUCAUUGCUGCCCUCAAGCACGGCUUGUGUGUUGGGCUUCCGUCCCUGGCAACGAGGACGGGCCCAAAAGGCAGUGGCGGCACCAUGUCUGGUCCUCGAGCGUAUGGGGCUUUGUCACCCGCUCCCGUAGGUCCAGCUGGCAGCUAGCCUCGCAACCAAUCUUUUUAACCAGGUUGACCUCGGAUCAGGUAGGGAUACCCGCUGAACUUAAGC
Molecule: unclassified non-coding RNA, 314 nt
Filed under: plant metagenome
Description: partial contains 5.8S ribosomal RNA, internal transcribed spacer 2, and large subunit ribosomal RNA
Rfam family: 5.8S ribosomal RNA (bases 1-105)
Source: RNAcentral